CUUAGUCUGUUGCCCAGGAUGGAAUGCAGUAGUGUGAUUACACCUAACUUCAGCCUGAAACUCCUGGGGUCAAGUUAUCCCCCGACCUCAUCAUCCCAAGUAAUGGGGACUACAGAGUUUAGGAUGCUUCAAGGGAAAGAUGAACCGGGGAACCGCCACCGUGACUAUUUCUCAUCUACAUAUCCACCCCCCGAAGUUCUUAAGGUGGAGCGGAAUUCAUUUUAUUUGCAAAUGUGGAAGGCAUUAUAAAAACCGUGAAUGAUGCCCCCUCCCAUGAGGGAUACAGGGAGAGCCACGUGAAGAGGAUGUUGGGCUUCUUCAAGCUGGCAGGGCACUGAGCUGACUGUCCACCACACUCACCAGGGGCCUUUGUGCAUCCCGUGGGGCAGCUCUGGGAAAGGAGGGCCAGAAAGGAUGGGCUUUCCCUUUUCCUCGUGGCAGAAACUUCCCUGACUUCAUAGCUGGGUUCCCCCUAUCCACAGUUUACAGUACAACUAUCUCCUCCAAGUUGGCCAGCAUUGCCUCUGAUACGUGAACAAGAAGUAUUUGGAGGGUUAAUAAAUACAAAUCAACACAUAUACACAUGAAGAGAAAAUGGAUGUAAUAACCAAGGACUGCCUGAUAUGCGGGAACUGAAGCUCAGAAAGGCAAAACAACUUUUCAUGCUCUUCUACCUAAUAAGUCGGAGAACCAAGAUUCAAAUUCUAAAUGCGGGUCUGAUUGAGGCCAAGCAGGAAACCUGUGCCCCAGCACCUGUCUGCUUCUGUCAUGGGGUUGUACUCCAGGAACCAUCGUGCACCUGGCAGCCCUCUCACCCUGCAGGCAGCGAGCCCGGGGAGCCAUAAAGAACUUCUUUUAGAAUGGAUUCACUGACUGAAAUCACGCUUUGGGUAAUUUUUUCUCUGUAGCAAGGCACUUGAAUGUCAUCUUUAAGAUCCAUUGAAUCUAAUAAAUACUGUCUGGAAGUCAUAUACGUACAACUGAAUCUUCCCAGUAUAGGGAGAAUUGGACAGAAUGAGGGUUCAACCUUCUCCUAAUCUUGACUUUGUCAUCCCCUGUAUGACCUUGGCCAGUUUCUUUAACCUCUCUGGGCCUCAGUGUUUGUACAACGGUGCAACUACUGCUAAUGCUACUACUACAACUAGCACCAAUUCAUACUGUGAGAGUCAGAUGAGAUAAGAUGAAUAAAAGUGUUUAAAAAAUAUAAGUAUUGGCUGGGUGUGGUGGCUCACAC
This 1234-nucleotide long non-coding RNA is filed under the name Homo sapiens (human). RNAcentral describes it as "HSALNT0382617". Lineage: Eukaryota; Metazoa; Chordata; Mammalia; Primates; Hominidae. The record is from RNAcentral.